ACCUCGAUUAAAAUAUGAUGAAGAGCACAAGAGCAGCGUUUUUUCGUGCCAUUUUCAUUGUCUGGAGGUAAAUUCGGGUUCGAACCGGUUAUUAUAAAAUUAUUGCCGUUCGAUUUGCGGAGAAGAAGCUGCUUGAGAUGAUCGAUCGGUUCAGCUAUUUUAUCGAUGACACGAGUGCAGACCGUUACAUGAGAGAUGGCAAUGAAGGGUAAAAUAAAAAGAGAGUGCAGAGAUACUCCGAGAGAUAUUCUGCGAUGGUAGAAUAAAUUUUAUAAAUUAUCUGACGUAUGGGAUGUGAAAAUUUGUCAUUUAUACAUUAUUACAGGUAAACGAAACGCGGCAAAAAAAAUGUCUGCAUCACAAUCCGCUGCGAAAAACAAACACAACACACAGAAUAAUUUGAAUCAUCAUUUUUAUCGUUCAAAAUAUAAUUAGGAAUAUCGCAAAAAUGAGAUGAAAAUCGCGACGCGAGUUUAGUUAAUAAUUGUUCUAACAAAGUGAGGCAAUUGCUGUAUAUUAAAAAUU
Molecule: long non-coding RNA, 525 nt
Filed under: Neodiprion lecontei (redheaded pine sawfly)
Lineage: Eukaryota; Metazoa; Arthropoda; Insecta; Hymenoptera; Diprionidae
Description: uncharacterized LOC124293753
Source: RNAcentral